This 261-nucleotide ribosomal RNA is filed under the name Azorhizobium caulinodans. Its description in RNAcentral is "16S ribosomal RNA". It matches the Rfam family "Bacterial small subunit ribosomal RNA", at positions 46 to 334 of the family's 1533-position model. Lineage: Bacteria; Pseudomonadati; Pseudomonadota; Alphaproteobacteria; Hyphomicrobiales; Xanthobacteraceae. RNAcentral also lists the same sequence under 2 other names. The record is from RNAcentral.
AGGCUUAACACAUGCAAGUCGAACGGGCCCUUCGGGUCAGUGGCAGACGGGUGAGUAACGCGUGGGAACGUGCCCUUCAGUUCGGAAUAACCCAGGGAAACUUGGGCUAAUACCGGAUACGUCCGAAAGGAGAAAGAUUGAUCGCUGAAGGAUCGGCCCGCGUCUGAUUAGCUAGUUGGUGAGGUAAUGGCUCACCAAGGCGACGAUCAGUAGCUGGUCUGAGAGGAUGAUCAGCCACAUUGGGACUGAGACACGGCCCAA